ACGAAAGUCUGAUGGAGCAACGCCGCGUGAGCGAAGAAGGCCUUCGGGUCGUAAAGCUCUGUUGUUAGGGAAGAACAAGUAUCGGAGUAACUGCCGGUACCUUGACGGUACCUAACCAGAAAGCCACGGCUAACUACGUGCCAGCAGCCGCGGUAAUACGUAGGUGGCAAGCGUUGUCCGGAAUUAUUGGGCGUAAAGCGCGCGCAGGCGGUCCUUUAAGUCUGAUGUGAAAGCCCACGGCUCAACCGUGGAGGGUCAUUGGAAACUGGGGGACUUGAGUGCAGAAGAGGAAAGCGGAAUUCCACGUGUAGCGGUGAAAUGCGUAGAGAUGUGGAGGAACACUAGUGGCGAAGGCGGCUUUCUGGUCUGUAACUGACGCUGAGGCGCGAAAGCGUGGGGAGCAAACAGGAUUAGAUACCCUGGUAGUCCACGCCGUAAACGAUGAGUGCUAAGUGUUAGGGGGUUUCCGCCCCUUAGUGCUGCAGCUAACGCAUUAAGCACUCCGCCUGGGGAGUACG
RNAcentral lists this ribosomal RNA (518 nucleotides) under uncultured bacterium. Its description in RNAcentral is "bacterial SSU rRNA". It matches the Rfam family "Bacterial small subunit ribosomal RNA", at positions 375 to 884 of the family's 1533-position model. The record is from RNAcentral.